GAAUUGGCCCCUCGCUAAUGAUACAAGCUCUAAUCCGUCUGAAGAUGCUUUAUUGGAGCUUCGUUCAGCUCAGAAGUCAUUCCUUGUCGCGGCUCCACCGCGCGAUCUUGGUAGAUUAGAGCCUUCUAGAUAUUCAAGCUGGAUUAAAUUGUUGCGAAUAACUAGUUGGAUUUUUCGCUUCAUUAAGAACAUUCGUGUUUCGCAUCAAGAUAGAUGUUUUCAAGAAUAUUUGACAAACGAGUUAUCAGCCUCAAAGACUUAUUGGCAUAAAGUCGCGCAAAAUGAUUGUUUCCCAAGUGAACUACAUUUUAUUCGUUCAAAUAAACAGGUUGACAGUCGUUCUCCUUUAGCGUAGUUAAAUCCUUGUCUCGAUGAAGAUGGUGUAUUCCGUUUGGACGGUCGUUUGAGACAAGCCGAUCACAUUUCGUAUGAAUCGAGAUUUCCUGUAAUACUACCACGAAACCACGAUGUGACGCGAUUAAUUGCAACGCACAUUCAUGUUGAAGGAAACCAAGAUUUAGGAACUUCUCAUUGUAUCAGUAAAAUUCGAGAAGAGUAUUGGAUUUUGCACGUUAGACAAGUGAUCAAAUCCGUAGAGCAUCAUUGUCCUGAGUGUCGAAGGAGAAAAUGUAAGCCGGCUAAGCAAUUAAUGGCACCGCUUCCUUUGUGUCGAAUAGGUACCCCCUCACAUGCAUUUUCGGAAGUUGGUGUUGAUUUCGCAGGCCCUUUUGUAACAAAACAGGGACGGGGUAAAGUUAGGACGAAACGGUACUUAUGUUUGUUUACAUGCUUGUCGUCUAGGGCAGUUCAUUUGGAAAUGGCCUGGGGACUCGAUAGUCAUUCAUUUUUGCUGGCUCUCAUCGUUUCGUUAGCAGGAGAGGAAAACCGAAUUUCGUUUUGAGCGACAAUGGGACUAACUUUGUGGGAGCAAAUCGAGAACUUAGGAAUUUGUUUAAGUUGGACAAUUCAAGGAUUGGAAGUGACGUCGCUACUAAGGGCAUCGAGUGGAGAUUUAACCCCCCGGCGGCUCCCCAUUUUGGAGGCGUGUUCGAGGCUCUUAUAAAGUCGGCUAAAAGAGCUAUUAAGGCCGUAUUAGGCGAUGCGGAUGCAAAUGAUGAAGAAUUGAUGACCGUUUUUAUUCAUGCAGAGGGAUUACUAAAUUCUCGGCCCCUCUGUUAUCAAGGUGAUGACCCGAAGGACGAAUCGGUUCUCACGCCAAAUCAUUUUCUUUUUGGCCGAACAGGUGACCAAUUAGUGUCGUCCAAAUUAAUCGAUGGCGUUCGUUUUAAUCCACGUAAUCGUUGGCGCAUGGGGUGACUUAGUACUAGUUGUAGACCCACUUUCCCCAAGGGGAAAAUGGCCCUUAGGUCGUAUAGUAAAGUCGUAUCCUGGAAUUGACAAUCGUGUUAGAGUAGUUGACGUCAAAGUCGGCGAUAAUAUACUUAAAAGGCCGAUACAUCGUCUGUGUCCGUUGGAAGCUUAGAUACCUAAGUAUAGUGUGAAGAAGUGGCUAUCGAUAAUGUGCUUAGUUAUACAUCGUUCGAAAUCCGUUGUUCGUGUCUAUCGUUAUAUGGUGUGCUUAUUAUCCAUGUGGAAAUGCAGCUUUUUCAAAGUGUUUCAUCGUUGGAGUCAUCGUAAAGUUCAUCGAAAGUGUUUCAUCGUUGAAUUCAUCGCAAAGUGUACAUCGAAAUAGUGAUGUGUAUAUUAUAUAGUUCGCUAUUUAAAGUAGUGUUAGUUGUAUCGUCUAUCGUCGUUCGGGAGUGUUCAAUUAUAUCGUAUUUCGUGAAUCUGUAAUGUGCUUCGGAAUCUGUGUUUUAGGAUGUGCCAUUGUAUGUUACAUCCUGGAGGGGGAUGUGUUAGAAAUAUACUCCCUUCAGCUGUGAAGAGUGACUGGUUAAUUACGUCUACUGGCGUAUUAAUACAAGCAUGCAAUAAUAUAAAUGUAGUCCAAAAUAAAGCACGUGAGAUGCACUACAGAGUUCGUACCAUCAACAUCGUUUUUGUUCUUUUUUUUCACCCAUCGUAACUCGAAGCCAGGAGUCUGCUAUUUAUGGGCCCAGCCUGAGAAUCCAUUUCGGGAUUUCUCAUACAUCGUUCGCAACAUUAAUUACAAACCGAUCAAAUGACAAAUAUAAUUUGUAGAGUGUUCUUAAGAAAUUGUGGGCGACGAGUGGACGGAUCGACGGCAACAUACGACGAUAUUUCAAUGUGGGCGCUUACAAAGUAAUCAGUUGUUCUAAAUGUACUGCAGUUACUGAAAAUAUUUCCUCGAAAUAGAUUGAGUGACUCGGUGGUGAUAAUUGUCUCAAGUUUUUUGGCGGGGGGUGGGGGUGGUGUCUUGUGUAAUAUUAAUUCUACAUGAAGAGUUGUUGUAGAAUGGGUCCUUUAUUAUCUACUUACUGGCGCUAAGUCGUUUCGGGACUAAGUUUCAAUAUUGGAUGCAUACGCAAACCACCCAGAAAAAGAUCAUAUAAUAAAAGAAAUUUAAAAAAGAGAAAAAUGGAAGAAGAAAUGGCUGAAAAAAUGAUAGGGCAGCUUGAUCUUGGUGGAUAACUAUUCAAUUCUAAUAGAAAAGAUUGUUGUUAUGCUAUUUUGGAAUCUAAAAUUUAGUUUAAUAUAUAUAUAGAGAGAGAAAUGGGGUUUAACGUCUACUAGACACAAACUAGGUCAUUUCGGGACUGACAUGUUUUUUUAAUUUUUAUUUCAAUAAUUCGCUUGCGCGUAGGGGUUUUUAGCAGUGGGAGGAAACCGGAGGACCCGGUGAAAACCCACGAGGUUGGACAGGCGACCCUAAUCCUUGUCACGUACAACCGGGGAAUCGAAAUCCCGACAGUGGACUGAAUGACAGACCGUAUGAUACAGCGCGUGCGUGAUAACCAUUCGGCCAUCCAACCCCCCUAGUUUAGUAUAGUAAAAGUGCACACAUACAUGUAUGAGAGAGAGAAAUGGGGUUUAACGUCCACUCGACACAAACUAGGUUAUUUCGGGACUAACAUAUGGUUUAAAUUUUAUUUCAAUAAUUCGCUUGCGCGUAGGGGUCUUUAGCAGUGGGAGGAAACGGGAGGACCCGGAGAAAACCCACGAGGUUGGACAGGCGACCCUUCUCCUUGUCACGUACAACCGGGGAUUCGAAACCACGCCAGUCGACUCAAUGACAGACUUUAUGACACAGCGCGCGCACGCUAACCAUUCAGCCAUCUAACCCCCCUCAUACAUGUAUGAGCACAGACAGAAUCUUAGUUAGAUAUGACUGUCUCAUCUGUGGCAAAGCAAACGAAUACAUGAAAUCAAAGCCCAGCUUAGGCAUGGGCAAGAGGGGUCCAGGCCUAGGGUCCUGCGGUUUAGGGGGCCCCGCGGUUCAUGGCAAAAAGAGAAAAAAAUUCAAAUUCCAGAGGAAAGUUUCACGAAAAUCGAUCUAAAGGCGCGAGGGCGGAGACUGAGCUAUCCCUCAACCUUCUCUGUGAAGUUCCACAGACUUGUAUGCCAUUCGGGUCAGAAUAGCUUUCGUAUAUGAUCAUAUAUUAUGUAAUUAUUCUUGUAUUACAGACCGUUUAAUUGUGUGUUACGCAUGCGUGUCAUUCAAAAGGAUAUGAAAUAAUCUUUUCGUCACGUUAGGGAGCCCGCAAUUCUAGUCAGGCCCAGGGCCCCGCUCCGAUUAAGCUGGGCUUUGCAUGAAAUAAAACAAAUGUAAUUAAAUUAACAUUUUUUAACUAAAUCAAAACUGUCUAGUGAAUUUAAGCUAAAUAAUACAUAGCAUAUAUCUGUUUUCAGUUACCUACCUCGGAAGAUCAAAACUGUUGGAAACGUCUAUUGAUAUUGUGGAAGCGUUUUCUCACAGAGCUCGCUAAUCAGACAAAGGCUAUACUAGAGAGCAUUUGAUGUAUGAUAACAACAGCAAGGGAACUCAACUAUAUACAAGGGAACUCAAAUAUAUACCUUUUGAAUAUUAAGCCAUCAAAUUAUUUCAUAAUUUUGAAAAAGAAUGUAGUGAUUGUAAAUGCUAAUAGGUUAUCUCUUGCUUUUGGGCUGUUAUUUAAAUAUUUUAUUUUUGUUUUGAAUGUUAAAUAUCCUUCCCAAACACAAUUAUAUUUUAAUUCUCUUCAAAAGUUUAUGUAAAAUAUAGACUGUAAAGUGACCUAUAAAUCACUUAGAAUUUGGUCGGAAACCAUAAAGUAUUAAACAGGCAUUAUCUCGAAACCAAAUGCAGAUCGAAUAUACAAAGAAUUACAAAAACCCUUUAGGUACAUUAAGGUGACUUUCCCUUGCUUAUGAAAUGAAAUGGGAUUUAACAUCCUACUUUUCUAUGUUAUGGGGGUAUUUCUGCCCUGGUAGUUAAGGUGACUUUCAUUUGCUUAUAAAAUGAAAUAGGAUUUACCAUCCUACCUUUCAGGGUUUAUUUUUAAUGAUAAAUAGGGUCACCUUUCCAACAUCGUGGGUUUUCUCUGGGUCCCCCGGUUUCCUUCCAGUUUGUGUCGAGUGGACGUUAAACCCAAUCUCUCUCUCCCUCUCUCUCUCUCCUUCCCAAACACAAUUAUAUUGUAAAUUUGUAAUUCUCUCCAGACAUUUGUGUAACGUAUUAUAUAGGGCACUAUCUAGAACCCAAAUAUAGAUCCAAUAUACACAGAAUUACCCCAAAAAAAUCGGGUACAUUAAGGUGGCUUUCCCUUGCUUAUAAAAUAAAGGGGCGGGGACGAUUGGUUAGGACGUGCGGGCUGUAUCAUAAGGUCUGUCAUUGAGUCAACUGGCCUGAUUUCGAUUCCCCGGCUGUACAUGACAAGGGAGGUACGGUGCCUGUCCAACCUCGUGGGUUUUCUCUGGGUCGUCCGGUUUCCUCCCACUGGUAAAAAACCCUUGUGCACAAUCGAAUUAUUGAAAUAAAAUUGAACAUUAUAUUAGUCCCGAAAUGACCUGGUUUUGUGUCGAGUGGACAUUACCCCCCCCCCCCUCUCUCUCUCUCAUUAUAAACUGAAAAGGGGUUAAACCUCCUAUUUUUCUAUGUUAUAUGGGUAAUAAUGCCCACGACCAACACCGGGAUCCAAAAAGGGCCUCCAUGUAAGCGAGCCUACUCACUGAACCACCAUGGCUCCCCUUGCUUAUGACUUGUAUAUAAAUAUUUUGUACAUUUGUACAUGUCUCAUAUAUUUCAUUUGUAUGUAGUUUUUCAGUUUUUGUGCAUAAUUAAUGUUUUUAGUGCUUGUUUUGACUGUUUAGGGGGCAUGGAGUAGGGAUAUUGUGUACAUAUCUUUUAAAUUCUCAUUUCGUUUUUAAGGGGGUAACUUUAAAAAAGAAUUUAAAAAAAAAAAUAAUUAAUUUUGUUUUUAUUUUUGGUGGGGUGGGUGGAUAUGUUGUUGUUAUAUUAUAUUAUAAUAACACAAUUUUAUUAGUAUUGGAAUUACCUUUGUUAAUUAUUAUUCCAAAUGCCUCG
Molecule: long non-coding RNA, 5425 nt
Organism: Patella vulgata (common limpet)
Lineage: Eukaryota; Metazoa; Mollusca; Gastropoda; Patellidae
Exons: 3
Source: RefSeq, a predicted model, not a curated record